UACGUAGGUCCCGAGCGCUGUCCGGAUUUAUUGGGCGUAAAGCGAGCGCAGGUGGUUUAUUAAGUCUGGUGUAAAAGGCAGUGGCUCAACCAUUGUAUGCAUUGGAAACUGGUAGACUUGAAUACAGGAGAGGAGAGUGGAAUUCCAUGUGUAGCGGUGAAAUGCGUAGAUAUAUGGAGGAACACCGGUGGCGAAAGCGGCUCUCUGGCCUGUAACUGACACUGAGGCUCGAAAGCGUGGGGAGCAAACAGG
This 252-nucleotide ribosomal RNA is filed under the name uncultured bacterium. RNAcentral's name for it is "partial 16S ribosomal RNA". It matches the Rfam family "Bacterial small subunit ribosomal RNA", at positions 524 to 776 of the family's 1533-position model. The record is from RNAcentral.